CGCGGUAAUACAUAGGUUGCAAGCGUUAUCCGGAUUUACUGGGCGUAAAGCAAGCGCAGGUGGACUAACAAGUCUGGUGUUAAAUGCGAUAGCUUAACUAUCGUAUGCAUGGGAAACUGUUGGUCUAGAGUGCAGUAAGGUGUUUUGGAACUCCAUGUGGAGCGGUGGAAUGCGUAGAUAUAUGGAAGAACACCAGUGGUGAAAGCGAAAACAUUGGCUGUAACUGACACUUAGGCUUGAAAGCGUGGGGAGCAAAUAGGAUUAGAUACCCUAGUAGUCCACGCCGUAAACGAUGGAUAUUAAAUAUUGGUUCUUGUUGGAUCAGUAUUGUAGCUAACGCGAUAAAUAUCCCGCCUGGGUAGUACACUCGCAAGAGUGAAACUCAAACGGAAUUGACGGGGACCCGCACAAGUGGUGGAUUAUGUUGUUUAAUUCGACGGUACACGUGGAACCUUACCUAGUCUUGACAUCCCUGGCAAAGCUAUAGAAAUAUAGUGGAGGUUAACCGGGUGACAGGUGGUGCAUGGCUGUCGUCAGCUCGUGUCGUGAGAUGUUGGGUUAAGUCCCGCAACGAGCGCAACCCUUUUUGAUAGUUAAUUUAUCUAUCGAUACUGCCGAUGUAAAUCGGAGGAAGGUGGGGAUGACGUCAAGUCAUCAUGCCCUUUAUGACUAGGGCUACAAACGUAAUACAAUGGGUGGUACAAACAGUAGCGAACCCGCAAGGGAGAGCAAAUCUGAAAAAGCCAUUCGUAGUACGGAUUGGGGGGCUGAAAUUCGCCCCCAUGAAGCUGGAAUCACUAGUAAUCGCAAAUCAGACAUGUUGCGGUGAAUACGUUCUCGGGUCUUGUACACACCGCCCGU
RNAcentral lists this ribosomal RNA (861 nucleotides) under Mycoplasmatales bacterium. RNAcentral describes it as "bacterial SSU rRNA". It matches the Rfam family "Bacterial small subunit ribosomal RNA", at positions 516 to 1397 of the family's 1533-position model. The record is from RNAcentral. Lineage: Bacteria; Bacillati; Mycoplasmatota; Mollicutes; Mycoplasmatales.